RNAcentral lists this ribosomal RNA (567 nucleotides) under Stemphylium sp. 112. RNAcentral describes it as "eukaryotic LSU rRNA". The stretch from base 205 to 358 matches the Rfam family "5.8S ribosomal RNA". Lineage: Eukaryota; Fungi; Ascomycota; Dothideomycetes; Pleosporales; Pleosporaceae. The record is from RNAcentral.
CGUAGGGUGAACCUGCGGAGGGAUCAUUACACAAUAUGAAAGCGGGUUGGGACCUCACCUCGGUGAGGGCUCCAGCUUGUCUGAAUUAUUCACCCAUGUCUUUUGCGCACUUCUUGUUUCCUGGGCGGGUUCGCCCGCCACCAGGACCAAACCAUAAACCUUUUUGUAAUUGCAAUCAGCGUCAGUAAACAAUGUAAUUAUUACAACUUUCAACAACGGAUCUCUUGGUUCUGGCAUCGAUGAAGAACGCAGCGAAAUGCGAUACGUAGUGUGAAUUGCAGAAUUCAGUGAAUCAUCGAAUCUUUGAACGCACAUUGCGCCCUUUGGUAUUCCAAAGGGCAUGCCUGUUCGAGCGUCAUUUGUACCCUCAAGCUUUGCUUGGUGUUGGGCGUCUUUGUCUCUCACGAGACUCGCCUUAAAAUGAUUGGCAGCCGACCUACUGGUUUCGGAGCGCAGCACAAUUCUUGCACUUUGAAUCAGCCUUGGUUGAGCAUCCAUCAAGACCACAUUUUCUUAACUUUUGACCUCGGAUCAGGUAGGGAUACCCGCUGAACUUAAGCAUAUCAA